GUGUGUGUGCGUACGACCAGGGGAAGCUCCCCAUGGAGCCAAACCCUAACCUUCAACAAAUCUACCAAAUUGAAGGUCAAUCCAAGACCCAAAUCGAUGCAUGAACGCGUAGAAACGAUCACCAAGUCAUGGGGAUCACAAGUUUGACGCUUGGCAAGCUAGGUGAAGGCUUGGGGAAGGAAGCGGGUCAAACGAAGCAAGAAUGACGGAAAAGCAUAAUUCGGAUGCAAGGUAAGUAUAACUUACCCUAGUCUUAUAUUUCAGAAUAUUCUCUUAUCGUAUUAGUUACGAAUAAGAUAAAUACAAAAUCGAGGUAUGAUGUUCCGGCGUGUAGACGUACGGAACAAGAUAGUCGAGCAUAAUAAGAAACCAUGUUGAUGGUUUAAAAGGAGUUAAAUCGGUAAUUCGAUCUUUUUAUGACAAAUGGAAAAAAUGAACUUUUGGAAUGGUUACCUUAUAGGAUAAACCAAAACAAACAAUAAGGGUAAAACGGUAAAUUGGUCAUGCGUUGACCAUAACUAUUGGUUUUGAAAGACACGGUAGGACGUAAGCCAUGAUAGACUAAAAAUCGUUAAGAAAUGAUUAAUAAGUGAAAUGACCGCACGGUGUAAACCAGAGCGAGUCAUGUAGAUGAGAUGGUAAUAAAUAUCAUCUCGCCAACAAAAUCGGUCACUUAGACCAAAUGGGUCAAAAGGUGAAGGUAUCACCUUUUGACAAUAACGACUAAUGAUUAUUGUCGAGUUAUAUUAUUUCAGGAGUAAAUGUCAAAUGGAUAUUCGCAACGCUAAGAAUUUGCAAUUAUAAAAGCAAGGUAUUAAAAACGGGUCAAUAUAUUGGUCUGCGCCAGGUACGUGAAAUAGUGUAACACUUAUUUAGAACAUGUGGUUCAAGGAGUGUUAAAAGUAGUCAACAUAGACAUUUGGUUACUUGAUAAGUAAACCGAAUGUUUUGUUAUAAUGAACAUUGCGUUUGGAAAGCUUAAUGACUUUUCAAACAAUAUCAUAAGUUAAAAGAGGGUUUAUGGGUCAAAUAUACUUUCAAAAGUCCUUCAUCGUAAAUGAUUGGCUAAAUAGACUAAAACACCCUUAUAAGCUAAUUUCGACAAACGACCUUUAAAGGUAGUUUUGAAACGAGUUUUAUGAUCAAAUAAAUAAUUGGAAUAAGUGUAAGAAGCGAAAGAUGUAAAUCUUCGGUCAAAUGACUCUAUGAAUCUUUGUCGUAAAUUAGCAAUCCGACGAGAAAAACUCGGAUUAUAGAGAUCACCUCAUUAAGUCCACCACAAAUAUAGUUGUCGUGGAAGAUUACUUGAUAAGAAAUGUUGUAUAAUAACGCUAGAAACGAAUGAAAGCGUUUCAUGCUCAAAAUAUGUCUAAAUACCCUUAACGGGUCAAAAUACGCAAAUGAGCAUAAUCGGGUUUAUGAUACGUAAGAGACCCGUGACUUAAACCUAAUAUGAUAGGAAUUAUUGAAAUUAUGAAUAUCAUGAGAAUAAGGAUCAAAUAAACAUGUUUGUUUGAUAAAAUCGCGAACGGGUCAAAAUUUGGUAAAAAUGGUAAUAAGCCGAAGACUUAAAAAUCUUAAAUUUUGUUAAUCCGGAUGUUGGAUUUUGACUCCAUAUAAUGAAGGGUCAAAUUACAAUCAUGUAGGAAGAAACGGUGGGUCAAACGGAUAAGCGGAUUGAAAGAUACGAAAGUUUUCGUGUCAAUAAACGGCAAAAUGGAAAGCUGGAAUGCAGAGGCCACCGUAACUUAUGGUUCCACCAUAAGUUACGGUGGAGCUGAAAAGUUUUACGGCAGCCCCCUACUGGUUUACGGUAGGGGCAUGUCAAACCAGGGGCCACCGUAACUUACGGUGCCACCGUAAGUUACGGUGGAGGCCAGUUGGAAAUCUUUGUUUUUAGAUCAAGAGUUUAACGUUGGGAUUCUUUUUCCUUCCACUAUCAUUACCGGAUUUGUUUAGACACAUUUUAAAUCCCCGUAUGACUAAAGCAUUUCAUGUUUAUGAAAUGUAGGUACAUUUAGAAUGCUGAAAGACGACCAAGCUCAUCGAAGAACCGAACACGAUAUAGAUUCAUGCUUCCGCACUUGGUCACGUUGUAAAUUUUUAAACGACGAAUUUGCUCACGUUAUGUUGAAUGACUUAUGAUUGUAAAAGUUUUAAUAAACCCGUAUUUCCAAAUGUUUAUGUAAUCUUAAUUACAUGAUUGUUUUUCGUAAAAUAUACGUUAAACCUU
RNAcentral lists this long non-coding RNA (2233 nucleotides) under Helianthus annuus (common sunflower). RNAcentral describes it as "hypothetical non coding rna". The record is from RNAcentral. Lineage: Eukaryota; Viridiplantae; Streptophyta; Magnoliopsida; Asterales; Asteraceae.